This 507-nucleotide ribosomal RNA is filed under the name uncultured Balneatrix sp. RNAcentral describes it as "bacterial SSU rRNA". It matches the Rfam family "Bacterial small subunit ribosomal RNA", at positions 521 to 1028 of the family's 1533-position model. Lineage: Bacteria; Pseudomonadati; Pseudomonadota; Gammaproteobacteria; Oceanospirillales; Balneatrichaceae. The record is from RNAcentral.
UAAUACGGAGGGUGCAAGCGUUAAUCGGAAUUACUGGGCGUAAAGCGCGCGUAGGCGGUUUGUUAAGUCGGAUGUGAAAGCCCCGGGCUCAACCUGGGAACUGCAUACGAUACUGGCAAGCUAGAGUGCAAUAGAGGGGGGUAGAAUUCCAGGUGUAGCGGUGAAAUGCGUAGAUAUCUGGAGGAAUACCGGUGGCGAAGGCGGCCCCCUGGAUUGACACUGACGCUGAGGUGCGAAAGCGUGGGUAGCAAACAGGAUUAGAUACCCUGGUAGUCCACGCCGUAAACGAUGUCAACUAGCUGUUGGGACUCUUGUAGUUCUGGUAGCGCAGCUAACGCACUAAGUUGACCGCCUGGGGAGUACGGCCGCAAGGUUGAAACUCAAAUGAAUUGACGGGGGCCCGCACAAGCGGUGGAGCAUGUGGUUUAAUUCGACGCAACGCGAAAAACCUUACCUACUCUUGACAUCCUGCGAACUUUCUAGAGAUAGAUGGUGCCUUCGGGAGCG